Cervus elaphus (red deer) is the source of this 2123-nucleotide long non-coding RNA. RefSeq lists it as uncharacterized. The transcript is spliced from 4 exons. NCBI's taxonomy places the organism in Eukaryota, Metazoa, Chordata, Mammalia, Artiodactyla, Cervidae. The record is from RefSeq and is a predicted model, not a curated record.
AAUCGCUCUGAGCAGAGAUCUGAUUCUCUUCCCAACGAUACUUGUCAGACAAAGCAAGAGGCGAGUGCCUUUCCAAUUAACCUAACCUGCGUCACAAAUGUAAAGGGGACACGGCAAACCUCAAACCUAUUAAUACUUGAUUUUGUGGGCAGGGGUAGAAUAUGCAAAGGGCAGGAAGCUCAUCAACCUGGGUUUCCCUCACGUUCUGUCGCGGACACGAGCGCUCCAGCCUGUCGAGAGGACCCUAGCCAGCAGAACCUUACUGUUUGGGGAGGGGCGAGGAGGGCUCCUUUGCAGAUCCUCCUCGAUUUGGACCAUCCCUAAAGAGCGGACAGCGCCUCGAGAGCGACUGGGUUUGCAUCGAGACGGAAGGAAUUAGUGGUUCUGUUCUGCGAGUGAAAUAGCCCACCGAAGGUAGCGCUUAAUAAAAUGCGGUGCAUAUAUAACCCAUACCAGGCGCAGGGGCGGUCCUCCGGGUCCCGCCCCGAGGGCGCCUUCCAGCGCCGCCAGGCUGCGCCCGCCGCACCUGCUUCUGCCCGGAGUGGUUUCCGUGGAAACUCCGGAGAGCCGGUUCUCCCUUCAGACACGCUGUUACCCGGACGACUGCGACCUAGCAGGAGGCGGUCCGAGGGUGGCAGUGGACGCCUGCUUUAAAUCAAAGGUUCAAAGAGAUUCUCUAAGGCGGGAGGGCAGAAACCGGAGGGCAGUGCGCGAUGUUUGGGAAUGGAGGUGGAGCCUCGGGAGCCUGCGUGGGGGUGGCGUUAAUGGACGACGCAGGCUCCGCACUCUGCGUAGCUCCCCCAUGCACCCCACUAGGGCCAGACGCAGAGGAGGAGAGGAGCGAACACCAUGCAGAAGUGGCCUCAACAAAAAUGUGCCUUUCUGGAGAUGGAUUGCACAACAAUGUGACUGUAUGUGGGCCUGCACAGUGAAAAAUGGCUAAAUAAAUGUGUGAGAUUUUAGGUUCCCAACCAGGGAUUGAACCUGCACUCCUGCAGUGGAGGUGUGGAGUCUUACCCACUGGACUUCCACUGGACCUCCAGAGAAGCCCCCGUUUUGUUUUUCAAGUGAGAAGUGACUGCUAAUACUCUGCCAGCUAUUUGGAGAAAGGGAAUAAAUGAUCACAAUAUUGCCUCUGUACUGAAAAACAUUAAGGUCUAGUAUAAGAUGUUAUAAAUGUACAUAAAUAUGUAUAAUACGGGAAGGGUUGGAUAAAUGCUAUGUGGGGAAAAGUUACAAAGUGCUGUGGCUGGUUAGAAGGGAGGACAACCUAGGCAGUAACAUCAAGUAUUCAUUGAAGAGAAUAUAUUUGAUCUAGAUUUUAAGAAAGUUGGUGAUGGACAGGGAAGCCUGGCAUGCUGCAGUCCAUGGGGUUGCAAAGAGUCGGACACAACUGACCGACCGAACUUAGACUUUAAGAAAUGGGUACAGCUUUCCCUGGCCCAGGGAAGCGAAAGUGAGGCUUUUCCAGGUCAGGGUUUCUCAGCCUUGGCACUAUUCACAUUUUGAGUCUGGAUAUUUCUUUGCUGUUGGGGCUGUCCUGUCAUUAUAGGACAUUGAACAGCAUCUCUGGUUUCCAGCCACUGGAUAUCCCUCCCAGUGGUGACAACCAAAAUGUCUCUAGACAUUGCUGCAUUUCUUCUGGAGGGCAAAGUCGACUUUGGUGAGAAUCACUAUUCUAGUCUCAGAGGAUGAUGUUAGGAAGGGAGUAUGUUUGGGGAAUAAAGGAACAUCUGUAUCAGCCUGUUUCAAAAUGUGUUCCUGGGAACAUUAGUGUCUAGUGAGAUAAGUGAUGGUCCCUUAAAUAGGGUUCAUGGUCAAAUAGCAUUGAGAAAUAGCACAUACUUUUCCCCUCAAUUGGAAAUUCACAGUGUAUAUUAGAAUAGUAAAGGCUUUGAGAAUUGUGCAGGAAAGCUCUUUGACAUUGGUUACAUUUAACUAUCAAAGAACUUAAAAAAAAAUCAACAAACAAGUACUAACCUCCUGAAGGGUACUAUUGUAUUGCAGGACACAGCUUGAAAAAUGAUAGCAUAUUUGACUGAAACAUACAGGAUAUGAAAGAUUUACAGCUGGAAAAGAUUUAGAGCUGAUGCUGGGAAAGAUUGAAGGCAGGAGGAGAAGGG